AGAGUUUGAUCCUGGCUCAGAUUGAACGCUGGCGGCAUGCCUAACACAUGCAAGUCGAACGGAAACGAUGCUAGCUUGCUAGCAGGCGUCGAGUGGCGGACGGGUGAGUAAUGUAUAGGGAUCUGCCUAGUAGUGGGGGACAACACGUGGAAACGCAUGCUAAUACCGCAUACGCUCUACGGAGGAAAGUGGGGGACCUUUCGGGGCCUCAUGCUACUAGAUGAACCUAUAUUGGAUUAGCUUGUUGGUAAGGUAAUGGCUUACCAAGGCGACGAUCCAUAGCUGGUUUGAGAGAAUGAUCAGCCACACUGGGACUGAGACACGGCCCAGACUCCUACGGGAGGCAGCAGUGGGGAAUAUUGCACAAUGGAGGAAACUCUGAUGCAGCAAUGCCGCGUGUGUGAAGAAGGCCUUAGGGUUGUAAAGCACUUUCAGACGUGAGGAAAAGUAAUAAUUUAAUAAAUUAUUGCCUUGACGUUAACGUCAGAAGAAGGACCGGCUAACUCCGUGCCAGCAGCCGCGGUAAUACGGAGGGUCCAAGCGUUAAUCGGAAUUACUGGGCGUAAAGCGCGCGUAGGCGGAUAUUUAAGUCAGAUGUGAAAUCCCUGGGCUCAACCUAGGAACUGCAUUUGAUACUGGAUAUCUAGAGUAUGGUAGAGGUGAGUGGAAUUUCAGGUGUAGCGGUGAAAUGCGUAGAGAUCUGAAGGAACAUCAGUGGCGAAGGCGACUCACUGGGCCAUUACUGACGCUGAGGUGCGAAAGCGUGGGUAGCAAACAGGAUUAGAUACCCUGGUAGUCCACGCCCUAAACGAUGUCAACUAGGUGUAUGGGAGUUUAACUCCUGUGUAUCGAAGCUAACGCGAUAAGUUGACCGCCUGGGGAGUACGGUCGCAAGACUAAAACUCAAUGAAUUGACGGGGGCCCGCACAAGCGG
This 934-nucleotide ribosomal RNA is filed under the name uncultured bacterium. Its description in RNAcentral is "bacterial SSU rRNA". It matches the Rfam family "Bacterial small subunit ribosomal RNA", at positions 8 to 932 of the family's 1533-position model. The record is from RNAcentral.